ACACCCGUAGCUCAGUUGGUUAGAGCACUACCUUGACAUGGUAGGGGUCGGUGGUUCGAGUCCACUCGGGUGUA
Shewanella denitrificans OS217 is the source of this 74-nucleotide transfer RNA. It matches the Rfam family "tRNA". Rfam says of the family: Transfer RNA (tRNA) molecules are approximately 80 nucleotides in length. Their secondary structure includes four short double-helical elements and three loops (D, anti-codon, and T loops). Further hydrogen bonds mediate the characteristic L-shaped molecular structure. tRNAs have two regions of fundamental functional importance: the anti-codon, which is responsible for specific mRNA codon recognition, and the 3' end, to which the tRNAs corresponding amino acid is attached (by aminoacyl-tRNA synthetases). tRNAs cope with the degeneracy of the genetic code in two manners: having more than one tRNA (with a specific anti-codon) for a particular amino acid; and 'wobble' base-pairing, i.e. permitting non-standard base-pairing at the 3rd anti-codon position. NCBI's taxonomy places the organism in Bacteria, Pseudomonadati, Pseudomonadota, Gammaproteobacteria, Alteromonadales, Shewanellaceae. The record is from Rfam.